GGCUUGGGUUGGAUGAUUUUCUUGGACUUCAUGACAGACUUUCCCUAGUUAAAUAAAUGUCAGUAUUCCAUCAUGGUCUCAGGAUAUGGAUAUCCAAGUUUACAACAUGAUCUUUAGAUGUGUUAUGCAUUGCUGUCUAUUAAUUCAAUGGAUUCAGUAGACAGGCUUUUUCUGACAGAAAGCACAGAGGAGCACCCUCCACACAAGAGCCUGUUCUCACUCACUCAUUGCUGUGGUGAGAGGGGCUUCCAUGGGCUGGCCUGACCAGGCUAGGAGAAUGCCUUGGAAACCUCUCAGGUGUCAAGGAGAUCCAGAUGGCAACAAUGAAGAGGCCCUGAGAGGAGGGUCAUCCGCCAGCACCACUCUCUCUGUCAGCCCUCUGAGCAACACCCCUCCAGAGCUGUGAACAGAAUCAGGCCUCUAUUCAUCAAGCUUAGAUAAAAUGAGAAUAUAUCAUUUUGAAGCACUCAAGAACUACCCUACAGCUUAUUUUUCUGUACGUUUUGUGAAUCAUUUUACAUCCAUAUGAGACAGUUUGCUAAACAAUAUCCAAGACUCCUGCUAAAGGAGAUGUGUGUUGGAAAAGGGUGAGGCAGUCAAUCCUGUCCGGUUUGUACUAAGCUGUAGUAAAACACUUGCUCUUUUAUGAGCAAGUAUUUUUUUAUGAUAUUUAUUGUAGAGUAACCUGUGGAACAAAUAUGCAUUCUAAAAUUAUCAACAAAAUAUUAAACAUACAAUUCGAGAUAGUUCCUGUAUUAGCAGAGCCAAGCAAGACCCAUCUGAUUCAAGGCUGGUGUGAAGUACUCCCACACUGACACAUGACAGUUGGUGACCAGUCAACAUGGUUGUGUGUCUGCACACAACCCAGCACAGGGCUGACACCAGCCCUGUCUGGGCCACACAGUCAUAAAUGUUACAAGCCUGCCCAGGGGCAGGGGGGUGGGGGGAAUAAAAGACCUGUCACUUUGUGUCUUUAUCUGCCCUGGAUCAGGAACCACUCUCCAAGGACCUGGGUCGACAGUGACCUCCUCCCACUGUAUGGCGGCUUUGUCCCAACGAUGAGAGAUAGCUGUAGAGAAACAUCUGAGAGCGCAGGAAAUGCAGCGUCUGUCAGUGACGUGCAACAAAUGUUCCAAGUGCUUUAGAGGAUGAGCAGCGUAUACAGCCCUUCACCCUCCAACCCCUUGCAGAAUUUAUGGAGUCCAGCAGAAAAACCUUGGUCUGAAAACCACCCAGCAUCAACAGCUUUCAUCUGGUUUUAGUUGGCAGAGGGGAGCCAAGAAUCUCCACAACGAAUUAUUGUAUAAAAUGUGCUUCAUACACCAGAAAUAGUCAGACUGCACCUGGUUUGACACAGAUGCACAUAGCGUAGAUCAAGAGACCUGCUUUUGUUUAAAUAUCUCAAAAACAGAAACAGACUGUAAAAGCAGUUGGAGCAGUCCUUUCAAAGCCAGCUAAAGGAGCAUUUCCAUUGGUUACUUCAAGGUCUGAUGCCUAUAAAGACAACAGCUCCUCCUUCCCGGACUGGUCACCACUGGUAAAGCUAUUCAAACAUUUCAAAGUUAUUCAAAAAUAUACUUAAGUGGAUUUCCAAUUUGACCUUAAGACUUCAUUUUCAAAUCUCUAUAGUGCUUCUACAAGACUCUUGAACAACUUUUUUGUACAGUAUUCUCCAUGGAAUGUCUCAGACAUGCAUGUGAGAUUAAAUUCAUACAGUACAGUAUACAAACAAGAGUCUUUAGUCUCUGUUUUCUCUCUGUCUCUGCUGCAGUAAAAUAGAUACACUUUCAAGAAACAAAUCAUGAAGAGAAUCUUGCAAUUAAAGCAUGUGCUGAUGUCAUCCUCUAUGGAAAACGAAGGCAUAAUUUUCCACAUCCCAUGGUUCAAUACUUCAUAUGUAUCCUAUUCCUUUAAUCUUGACUCGUCCCAUCAAUUGCAGCAGGUGACUAGAACAGGUGUAACUCAUUAGCUCUGCAUGUGGGCAUUGAGCUCCAUCAAAGCUGACUCAUCAUGAAGCCUCAUCUGUGCUGGUGAGCUGUGCUCCAGUGGGCCAUGCCAGGCAGGACAUAGUGCUUGGAUGAAAGACUACUUUCCUGGACCACAGUCUAAUGGCUGUCCCAUUAUCUGCUCCUCAUCUGUGUCUGUCUCAGUGGGCUUGUUCUGCCUGCCAGCCUUUUAGUCAUGAAUCAAGCAUGUAAUCACUUCAACCACUGUUCCUCUUCACUGGCAAACACAUUCCACAUUCUCAAAACUUUAUAUAUUCAAAAUAAUUUUGACAAUAACAAAGGGAAUAAUCACAAGCAAAAUAAGGUUUGUUUUUGAUUAAUAUUACUUUUUUAUAGAAUGUUAUUGUUUGAUAUUGUAUAUUCCAUCAGUGAAUCAAUGGAUUGCUUUCUGCCAGGAUGGCAUGAGACUAAAUAAAAAAAAGCUUUGCUGACAGUUUGGUGCUAGAGACCGAUGACAACUAGGCCUCUCGCAGAUACACAGGCUACAAAACAACCUUUAAACAUACUUCCCUUAACUGUCACUGUAUAACUUUUAACAUAGAUGAACGGCAAAUUACAAACAAUCUAUAAGACGCUAAAGAGCACAUAGUUUCAGGAUGCACAUUAUUUCCGAAAGAAUAUGGCAUCUCAUUAUUACACGUUCUAUGCCUCAGUAGCUUGACUAGAAACAGCCCUUGUCUCUCGAAUCCUAGGCCCCCCGGUGGAAUGCAAAACAGGUGCCGCACCAUUGGUUCCCCCGCAGUGGGGGUGAAAGAAAAACACCCGCCCCCGGUGGAACAUGACUGACAGCACAUCACAUUCUCCAGCCAGCUGUGUCCCUGGCUGAGCACGCUGACAAACCCAUGGAGCAUGUAGUUGUCCUCUCUAAAUACGUAAAAAUGUUGGGACUUGCAAAUACUGUAUGUUUAUGAACACAUUGCUCUAAGGGGUUUCCAUGUUUAUUAACCACUCUAAUCAAAAAUUGAGGCUUGACCUGAUUUCAUUGGAGGAAUUCCAAUCACAGAUGCUUUUUUUGUUGUUGCAUGAAUGAAAAUAUGCUGAUAAAAGGGAAUUAAAUCAUUUCUCCCUUGACAAUCCAUAUGUGUUUCAUUGGGUACUCUCACGUCUGGCAUUUAUUUAUAUAUUUGAAUUCUGGCUGCAGAUUCAAAGUGUUGAGUUUCUAUUUGAAACCACACCAAAGCCUGUAAGAUUGAAAUAAGUAUCCUGGCAUGAGCCACCAAGUGCACACUCAUGUUGCUAUAUCAUGUGACCUCAACUCUCCAAUUUCUGAUGUUCCUUUUUCCUGGCAGCCCUAAGAAGAAAAUAAGAAAAAGUCUCAAAUAAUAAAAAGGAAAGCAACAGUUUAUUUGUAUGCUUUAUAGAAUGUACAAAUAGAAAAGAUUAAAGAUGACAAAAAAAAAAUUACUACAGACUGAAUUAUGUUUUGAGACUUGAGUUUAAAAUCCAGAGUUUCAGGUUAAAAAACAUUGCCUCCUUUCCACUGGUCUGACCCUGACUAUAGUGUGUACCAGCCCACACCAAACCUUCUGCUGUGCAACAAUACUCAUAUUCACGGCCUGCAGACAGCAAAUUGCUUCUCUCAUUCCCCACCACGCCCUGCGUUCAUUCUCAGCCACCUGCAAAAUGAACCCUGCUGGAAAUUUCACUACAAAUUACUCUGUGUCUGCCAAAUCCCCCAGGGAGCUGAGGAAAUCAAAACCCUGGAACCCCAACCCCCACCAAAACAGGCCUUCCCUAUCACCACACACACAAAGCACAAUCAUUUUUUGUAUUUUGUUGUUUGCCGCAUAUGGACUUAAUCACAUUUUGUGACAUUAGGAGAGGCUGAUUUAAAGUAAAACAACAAGCUGUGGUGUUGUGUGCAUCUCAGCUGGAAGAAAAUAUUGUUUAGAAAUGUUGAUUUAAGUUUGGGAUCAUUCUAAAGAAUUUACUGUUUCAGUGUUACUCUAACUUGC
Molecule: long non-coding RNA, 3961 nt
Organism: Hypomesus transpacificus
Lineage: Eukaryota; Metazoa; Chordata; Actinopteri; Osmeriformes; Osmeridae
Exons: 4
Source: RefSeq, a predicted model, not a curated record